UGACGGAGGUUAUGGAUAUCUCGUCAAGCCCCAUCGUCCGUCAUAUGUCAAAUUUAUACGACUUCCAGUUUGAGAUAUGGAAAACUCUUUUUUCAAAAUACCUGGUCAGAAAUUUAUCGAACUCAGUCUCAUAAAUUACAUAGGAUCACUCCUAAUCUAUCAAGGUCGAUAGAUCUCAUCUAGAUGCAACUCUAUUCCAAAAUGAACCUACUGUAGCCAAUCCGCACUACAAGGACCUGAAUGGCUAGGGCCCAAGUUCACAU
RNAcentral lists this long non-coding RNA (263 nucleotides) under Phoenix dactylifera (date palm). Its description in RNAcentral is "long non-coding RNA (PDAC_LNC013555)". The record is from RNAcentral. Lineage: Eukaryota; Viridiplantae; Streptophyta; Magnoliopsida; Arecales; Arecaceae.